RNAcentral lists this ribosomal RNA (253 nucleotides) under uncultured bacterium. RNAcentral describes it as "partial 16S ribosomal RNA". It matches the Rfam family "Bacterial small subunit ribosomal RNA", at positions 524 to 776 of the family's 1533-position model. The record is from RNAcentral.
UACAGAGGUGGCAAGCGUUGUUCGGAAUUACUGGGCGUAAAGGGCGCGUAGGCGGCUUGGUCAGUCCCGUGUGAAAUCCCUCGGCUCAACUGAGGAACUGCACGGGAAACUGCCUGGCUUGAGUUCGGGAGAGGGAAGCGGAAUUCCAGGUGUAGCGGUGAAAUGCGUAGAUAUCCGGAGGAACACCGGUGGCGAAGGCGGCUUCCUGGACCGACACUGACGCUGAGGCGCGAAAGCUAGGGGAGCAAACGGG